CGAAUUGAGGUUGAAGCAUUGUGGCUUUCGUGCAAUAUACAGUCAGGAUGUUGAUGAGAUGGUUUUGUGUGGCAAACCUUCUGAGAAUUUGGGUCUUCCCUGUAAUCAUAACGUUGACAAAAGCAAGAGAAGCAAUAGAGUGGAAUCCAAUGAAAGUGGCAACUUGACUGAUAGAUUGCCUUCCAAGAGACCGAGGAUGCUUGUGGAUCCUGAUACUGAAACUCAUGGC
Molecule: unclassified non-coding RNA, 229 nt
Filed under: Hevea brasiliensis (rubber tree)
Lineage: Eukaryota; Viridiplantae; Streptophyta; Magnoliopsida; Malpighiales; Euphorbiaceae
Source: RNAcentral